This 1405-nucleotide long non-coding RNA is filed under the name Sinocyclocheilus anshuiensis. Its description in RNAcentral is "lncRNA (ENSSANG00000001869.1)". The record is from RNAcentral. Lineage: Eukaryota; Metazoa; Chordata; Actinopteri; Cypriniformes; Cyprinidae.
AAUAUGCUGCAUUAUAAAUAUGCUGCUUGACAUUCAGUGUGACUUUUUUUACUGUCAGUGUGUAAGCCGCAGUGUGUCUGUUCUGGAGAGGGAAGAGAUGGACAGACUGCUGGAUAAUGCCAAGUCAGAACUGUUCUCAGAACAGAGGCGUUUCAGACACAAACUGGACUCUAUGCAUGAGAGGAUGGAUGAGGUGAAUCAGGAGCUGGAGCAGAGCGAGGAGGACUGCAGGGCUCUCCGACAGAAAUGCACUGAGCUGGAGGAGCAGCUGGCUGAUACGAUCAGAGAAAAAGAACAAAUAAAGGAGAUUUCUCAGAAAGAUCUAGAGCAACAGGUGAAGUGUUUUGGAGUGCUGGAGCGAAUUGUUGCCCAGAAGGAGCUGCUUUUGCAGGGAAGCGAAGACGAAAAGGAAGGCCUUCUUCAGGAGCUCUGUUCACUGAGAGAGGAGCACAGCUUUAAGCUGAGAGAAAUGCAGAACAAGACAGAGCAAGAGAUUGAGCAACUGACAUUACAGUUAACCAAAAGCCACAAAGAGGAGCUUCAAAAGGUGCAUCAGCAGGCGGAUGAAUUGAGAUCGGCUGCUCUCAGUCAACAAGCUCAGACCCACAAACAGAGCCUGGACUUCUUACACAACUGCAUCCAGAUGAAAGAUGAGGAGAUAAAGAGACUAAAAGAGGCUCUAGAGCAGCAUGAGGAGAAGAUGAGGAGGCAAGCAGAGGAACUCAAAAGAGAAACUCAGGAAAAGAUUCGAAAGGCUGUGAAACGAGAGGAAAGGAAAUGGGAGGAACAGAGAGAGAAGGCUCUCAAAGAGCAGCGUGGGACUCUGGAGCAGCAAAUAGAGGAGGCAGUGAAGAGAGGGAAAACAGAAGUGGAGAUGGAGAGAAGGAACGCACUGGUCUUACAGAGUAAAGUGACUGAGCUUCAGAAAGAGGCAGAGAAGGAGGUGGUGCGUCUGAAGCAAACUUUGCAGCGGUCUGAAAAGAAGCUUCAGGAGCUGAGGACAGCCCUCUCUGAGAAAGACCAAAAACACCAGAGAAAAACAGCCAAACUUGAGCAGCAGAGCCGACGCUGGGCACAGGACAUGCACAGCGAGUGCGUUUGCUUGCAAGAGUUACUUAAACACAACAGCCUGGCUGUUGACAACAAGAACUCAUCAGACAGUCCUACAGUGAGUGAAACUCUUCAGACCCUGCAGACCCUCACAAAGGGCCUACAACAGCAUAUUAAUGAUCUAAGAGAUGAGCUCAGCUCACAGAGAUGUGCUGCACUGCAACUCAGCCGAGAAAAGGUACAGAGUUACAAACAAAAUACACAUAAUCACAGCAAAACAGCGCUAAUUAGCAUUAGCUGCCUAUGUGUUUCAGGAACAAGAGCUUCAUCUGCAGAAACAGCAGUUGAUGGAUGA